UGUACAGACAAGUCUGCUUUAAUAGGUAUAAUGUAUAAAUUGCUUUGAUAACCAUAUUCCUCUACCACCUUUAUAUUUUGAAGUAUUCAAUCUAGCUUUAAUUUUAUUAAUGUAUUUCUUUUAUCUUUCAUCUGAAUAGUGUUCUGUAUGUAAAGUGACCAAAUGUGAUUAAUGAUGAAUAGAUUAAGAUGGGACAGGGUGUUUGAAAAAUGACUUAAGUAGUGCAUGUAAGUCACUGGCUAUAGUCCCAAAAUGCAAAUUCUGGUUAAGUUAAUGACUGGAAAAUCAUGAUGGUAUUACUGUAUGAGUUCUGCAUUAUUUAAAAUUGCUUUCUAAACAAUAAAUAAUUAGCAUUUUACAUUCAGACUCAUUAAUAUUAUCACACAAUUAUUUCUAUAGGCAUUAUUAUUUUGGAGUCAGAAGUACAAAUAUAAUGGAUUUGUAGAAUUCUGAUGAUCGUUUUUUGCUGUCCAGAGUUUGAAAGUUGAGCCUUGCAUAUGGCGUACUGAAGAUCAUGUUCUGUUAAAGGAAAAUUGAUCUUUCUGCACUAGGAAGAAGCUUGUCUGUGCAGGAGAGGGCUUUCUCAGAGGCUGGUUUCAAUGACUUAAUUGGACAAUAUGUUUAUCUUCUUGGAUGGUGAAUAUAAUAAGUUGAAGUGAAUAUAAUAAGGUGAGUAAAGUUUUGUUCUUUUUCAUUUCAAAUGUCAUUAAAGGCUGUUAUGGAUGUUUUGGUUUUUAUGUUUACAGCUGAUAACACUGUUAAGCAGAAUAUCCUUGUAUUUGAGUUGUGAUCUUACAUGCCUUACCCAAACUUUAUGAUAACAAAAGCAGCUCAUAUGUGAGGUUUGUAGGUCCUCCCUCACUACACGCUUGCCCCCUCACACACAGAUACAUAUAAUUUUAUUUCAAUAUGCUUGGGUUAACUAGACUAUUGAAUUUCAAUUUGUUGUGCUCAUUUAUAAAAUAGUCUUCCUAUUGAGUUUGUUAGAGCUGAAUGAAAAUAGUGUAUUUAAGGCUGCUCAUGGUCUUUUCCAUCAUGUUUUCCUUAAUGCAGAAUUCUGAGAUUAAAAGAAAUGACAAAAUAAUGCUUGUGGAAAUAUAGAAGUCAGUUUUGUGGCUAUGUGGCAGUGGUCACAAUGGCAGCUGGGGGGCUGGCCUGUCCUAUUAACAUCCUCAUAGCUCAUGCUGGUCUGUAAUGUCUUCAGCCCACAAGCCCCUGCUAUUCCCUCAGAGUCAGUGCAUUGCACAGCCCUGCACUGCCUUGUUUUCCAUGCCAGGCACAGCACAGGGUGAGCACUCUGAGCACUCACCCUCACAGCCCUGAUUUCUCUGGGGAGCUGCACUGCCGAUGACCCGGGCUCUGGGGCCCGGAGCUGAUUGUCUGCUGCCCAGCUGUUGGCAGCUGGCCUUUCAGCCAUUAACCUCUCUGGGUAUGGUCAGACCUAGGGUAGACAUCUCGAAUCUGAAGGAGUGAAUAGAACUUCCAUGCCAUUUUUAAAAUAUUGUGCAGUAAAUAGGCUGGGAAGUUUUAACAAAUGACCUACCUCUGACAGCAGAAGCUAAAUGCAAUGCAGAGAAUAUGUAUUUUAGAUUUCAAUUUAAAUAAGGCUUGGAGAUUGCGAUAGCUCCUGGUUACUUUUGCUCUGUUGCGGAUAGCAUAGUAGUUGGAAAUAGUUUUGGUGACCCAUAAUGGUAAGAUAUUCUUUGGAGUGCUGUGCAGUAGUUGGUGACAGCUCUUUAUCUGAAACACCACAUCCCACCAGGAAUACCAGCAAAACUGUUCUUAAUUCUCAGUAUUCAAGAAUUCUUUAAGAGAUGAUGUUCAGUUGGCACAGAGCUUUUUGAUUCUUACUGCUGGCAGAUAAGUUGUUUACCGUGCUGAACAAUAUGUAUCAAGUAGGAAACAAAUCCUGAAACUAUUGGUUUUGUUGGUUAAGUUCUCCUCUUAUUUUCUGCAAUGUAAGGAUUAUUUUUAAAAUGUCAGCAGCCUUCCUGAACUGAUAGGAAUUGCCUUGUGAAAUAAAUAAAUAAAUAAAUCAGACAUAAAAAUUGAGAUCUGAACCUAAAAUAUCUGAACAAUAAAUAAAAUUGCUUUCUGAAUGGGAUUGCCAUAUUACAACUUUAAAAUAUAUGUCUCCAUUUCAGUUCCCUGUGCAGGCCUGUGUAUUUACUAUUUUACCUUUUAGAUGUCAACUGCCCCAAACAGUUCUAUAAAUUGAACUUAGAUUUGAAGCAGAAAGUAAUUUUCUAAAGAUUUUAAUUCAUAUUUUAGGGGAGAGCGUGAUAUGUAUGCAAUACAUAUGAAAAGCAUGUAGUCUGAUUUUUAAUUCUGAUUUUUAAUUCUGAUUCUAUAGUCGUACAGAAUAAUACCCGAUUCUUUGAGCAAAUUCUUUCAACUUAUCUGGAUAACUUGAGGUACAGGCUACAGUCAGAGUACAAACACUAUCAAGGUAUCGUAAUGUCUUCCUUAAAAGACAUUAUAUUAAGAUGACAAAAGUAGGAUGGCUAUUUUGUACGUGUAGCAUAUAUUCUAUGUUUUCAUGUAACUUUCUGUUUCUCAAGUCUGAAGCCCAACUAAGUGAUGGCAGCAAUUUUGUGCCAGCUGGCAGCAUUCUUCAGAGAAAUAGGAGCAACAGGCCAUAGAAAUGGUCAGGUAACAACAUACCUUUCUUCCCAUUAGAGAAGAGAAUAACAAAAUAGCAGCUCUGCUUGUUUCAUAAUACCAAGGAAUUUCCUACAAAAUAGUGGAGGUCUGGGCAAGAUGAGGAAUGAGUUCCAAUUACAAAGAUAGACCGACCUGCCUUUGAUUCAGUUUUCCUUCUGGUUCUGGUUGGAAAUUUUGCAUUACAGAAUAUAUAUUGUCAAAUUUCUUGUUCCACUGAUUUUUUUUUGUUAC
Molecule: non-coding RNA, 2895 nt
Organism: Meleagris gallopavo (turkey)
Lineage: Eukaryota; Metazoa; Chordata; Aves; Galliformes; Phasianidae
Source: RefSeq, a predicted model, not a curated record